This 22-nucleotide microRNA is filed under the name Callorhinchus milii (elephant shark). RNAcentral's name for it is "eshark_NOVEL_236". The record is from RNAcentral. Lineage: Eukaryota; Metazoa; Chordata; Chondrichthyes; Chimaeriformes; Callorhinchidae.
ACCCUGCAUGAGGAGUUGUUGU